Molecule: long non-coding RNA, 360 nt
Organism: Trachemys scripta elegans
Lineage: Eukaryota; Metazoa; Chordata; Testudines; Emydidae
Exons: 3
Source: RefSeq, a predicted model, not a curated record
UUGUCUUCGGUUUGAGAUCAGAGGUGCAACUGACCUGGGUCCUACAGAAUGAUGCAACUCGUUGAAUCUAAAUUGACUGGAGUAGUGAAGCAAAGAUGCUGAGAAAGAAUUAUCUUGAGCACGUUGCAACUUGAAAGUGGAGUCCCAGCCCUUGCUCUUUGCCUCUGAUACUUCGCAGGACAUUCCUGAAAUAUCAGAUGAUGAGGCCCUUCUCCUUUACGACAGCAGCCUUAUCCCUACAGAAUAAAACCCUGUAUGUGCCGAUGCAAAAUCCUUAUGAGAGUACAGAUUCUGCGGGUGCUGAUUUCUUUUGUUUCACUUCGCUGGCUAUUUAAUAAAAGUGUAAAAUUGAUCCAAAUA